CCUAGUAACUGCGAGUGAAGAGGGAAAAGCUCAAAUUUAAAAUCUGGCAGUUUUACUGUCCGAGUUGUAAUCUAGAGAAGUGUUAUCCGUGCUGGACCGUGUACAAGUCUCCUGGAAUGGAGCGUCAUAGAGGGUGAGAAUCCCGUCUCUGACACGGACUCCCAGUGCAUUGUGAUGCGCUCUCAAAGAGUCGAGUUGUUUGGGAAUGCAGCUCUAAAUGGGUGGUAAAUUCCAUCUAAAGCUAAAUAUUGGCGAGAGACCGAUAGCGAACAAGUACCGUGAGGGAAAGAUGAAAAGAACUUUGGAAAGAGAGUUAAACAGUACGUGAAAUUGUUGAAAGGGAAACGCUUGAAGUCAGUCGCGUUGACUGGGGAUCAACCUUGCUUUUGCUUGGUGUACUUCCCAGUUAAUGGGCCAGCAUCAAUUUUGACCAGUGGAUAAAGGUCAAGGGAAUGUGGCAUCUUCGGAUGUGUUAUAGCCCUUGGUUGUAUACAUUGGUUGGGAUUGAGGAACUCAGCACGCCGCAAGGCCGGGUUUUAACCACGUUCGUGCUUAGGAUGCUGGCAUAAUGGCUUUAAUCGACCCGUCUUGAAACACGGACCAAGGAGUCUAACAUGCCUGCGAGUAUUUGGGUGGAAAACCCAUAUGCGCAAUGAAAGUGAAGAUCAGGAUCCCUGUCAUGGGGAGCACUGAUGCCCGGACCAGACCUUUUGUGACGGAUCUGCGGUAGAGCAUGUAUGUUGGGACCCGAAAGAUGGUGAACUAUGCCUGAAUAGGGUGAAGCCAGAGGAAACUCUGGUGGAGGCUCGUAGCGAUUCUGACGUGCAAAUCGAUCGUCAAAUUUGGGUAUAGGGG
This 855-nucleotide ribosomal RNA is filed under the name Callistosporium praemultifolium. RNAcentral's name for it is "partial large subunit ribosomal RNA". It matches the Rfam family "Eukaryotic large subunit ribosomal RNA", at positions 79 to 923 of the family's 3401-position model. The record is from RNAcentral. Lineage: Eukaryota; Fungi; Basidiomycota; Agaricomycetes; Agaricales; Callistosporiaceae.